UCCGUAGGCGGUGUGGCAAGUCGGUAGUGAAAUCUCUCGGCUUAACUGAGAGGCUGCUGCCGAAACUGCCAUGCUCGAGUGCGAGAGAGGCGAGUGGAAUUGCGGGUGUAGCGGUGAAAUGCGUAGAUAUCCGCAGGAACAUCCGAGGCGAAAGCGGCUCGCUGGAUCGCAACUGACGCUGAGGGACGAAAGCUAGGGGAGCAAACAGGAUUAGAUACCCUGGUAGUCCUAGCCCUAAACCAUCAGGACUUGGGGUUUGCCCUGUACGGGCAAGUCCCGGAGCUAACGCGUUAAGUCCUGCGCCUGGGGAGUACGGUCGCAAGGCUGAA
This 329-nucleotide ribosomal RNA is filed under the name uncultured bacterium. Its description in RNAcentral is "bacterial SSU rRNA". It matches the Rfam family "Bacterial small subunit ribosomal RNA", at positions 568 to 898 of the family's 1533-position model. The record is from RNAcentral.